RNAcentral lists this ribosomal RNA (253 nucleotides) under uncultured bacterium. RNAcentral describes it as "partial 16S ribosomal RNA". It matches the Rfam family "Bacterial small subunit ribosomal RNA", at positions 524 to 776 of the family's 1533-position model. The record is from RNAcentral.
UACGGAGGAGGCAAGCGUUAUCCGGAAUUAUUGGGCGUAAAGCGUCCGUAGGUGGCUAGUCAAGUCUGCGGUCAAAGACUGGGGCUUAACCCUGGAAAGGCCGUGGAAACUGACGAGCUAGGGUGCAGUAGGGGUAGAGGGAAUUCCCGGUGUAGCGGUGAAAUGCGUAGAGCUCGGGAAGAACAUCGGUGGCGAAAGCGCUCUACUGGACUGCAACUGACACUCAGGGACGAAAGCUAGGGGAGCGAAUGGG